Molecule: long non-coding RNA, 1066 nt
Organism: Syzygium oleosum
Lineage: Eukaryota; Viridiplantae; Streptophyta; Magnoliopsida; Myrtales; Myrtaceae
Exons: 4
Source: RefSeq, a predicted model, not a curated record
UUCCCGCGUCCAAGCCUUCCCAGUUUCCCUUUUGCCGCCUCGCCUCACGCCUUGCUCCGAGCGAGUCGCUCGACGUCAGACGCCUUUCCCUCUUGUAGCCUCGCCUCUCGCCUCGCUCGACGUCCUCUCGCAGCCUCGCCUCACGCCUCGCCUCACGGCUCGCGGCCUCACCUCACACCUUGCUCUGAGCGAGUCGCUCGACGUUGAUCGCCUUUUCCUCUUGCGGCCUCGCCUCUCGCCUUGCUCGACGUCCUCUCGCGGCCUCGCCUUAGGUCUCCCUUUCUGCCUCGCGGCCUCGCCUUCCGCCUCGCGGCCUCGCCUCAAAGUUCCGCCAAAUUCACUAUGAUGAUGCAGUCACACAUUACUUGAUGAAGAACAAGUUGGAGGUGAAGAGACUACGGUGGAAGAUGAUGGAUUUUUGAAGGCCUUCAAGGGUUUUUACUUGACGUUAAACCUAGAAGAUUACGUCGGGAAAUUCUUUCUGGAUGAGUUUGUUCAAGUAGGCUAACAAAAUAUCAAGCUUCUUAGAUUGUCUGUCAAUCACAAAGCGAGGAACAAAUCUUGUAUAUUUCACGAGAUUCAUCAUUACCUCACUUGACCCUCAAUCUCAAACGAACAGCCCUUUCCCGAUUUCCUAUAAUCAGCGAUCUAUUUACAUGUCAAUGGAAGUGGAUCAAUCCAAUGAUGCUAUGAAUCCAAUAAUGGACUCACUAGAACAUGAAAGUGAAGAAAACCUCGAAGAAGCAUCCGACACAAACAAGGUAUCUAAUGCUCAUCCUGCUAGUUCUGGAAAACGAACAUCAGCAGCCUGGCUUCAUUUUCGUAAUGGCAAAACUGAGAAUGGGAAAACCGAGAAGAUUUGCAAUUAUUGUGGGGUUAUAUAUUGGUACUGUGUUGAUAACGGUACUUCUACUAUGUCGAAGCACUUGAAAAAAUGCAAUAAGUAUCCUCGCAACAUAGAUAAGAAGCAAAGAUUUUUUACCCCACGUAGAGUGGAUGGGACUAAAAUGACAAUGGGGCAGACUAGUACUGGUAGUACAAAUGCCUUAUCGACAUGGAAAUUUGA